Long non-coding RNA from Choloepus didactylus (southern two-toed sloth), 191 nucleotides. RefSeq lists it as uncharacterized. The record is from RefSeq and is a predicted model, not a curated record. The transcript is spliced from 3 exons. NCBI's taxonomy places the organism in Eukaryota, Metazoa, Chordata, Mammalia, Pilosa, Megalonychidae.
GUCAAUGAAGGAGCUGUGUCUUUAUUCAAAGAGCAAUGGUGUGCUAAAAUAUACUGAGACAACAAAUCCAGCUAAUGUCUGUAAUUUUCACAAGGACUGAUGAAUGUUCUAAAGGAAAGGAAAGCUAUUCUUCAGUAUGGGGAUCAGGUUCUAACUCCCUAAUCUGUGCUUUCUUGGAAGACCUCCUCGUG